UGGGGAAUAUUGCACAAUGGGCGAAAGCCUGAUGCAGCAACGCCGCGUGAGCGAUGAAGGCCUUUGGGUCGUAAAGCUCUGUCCUUGGGGAAGAAAAAAAUGACGGUACCCUUGGAGGAAGCCCCGGCUAACUACGUGCCAGCAGCCGCGGUAAUACGUAGGGGGCAAGCGUUAUCCGGAAUUAUUGGGCGUAAAGAGUGCGUAGGUGGUCUUGUAAGCGCGGGGUGAAAGGCAAUAGCUUAACUAUUGUGAGCCCUGCGAACUGUGAGACUUGAGUGCAGGAGAGGAAAGCGGAAUUCCUAGUGUAGCGGUGAAAUGCGUAGAUAUUAGGAGGAACACCAGUGGCGAAGGCGGCUUUCUGGACUGUAACUGACACUGAGGCACGAAAGCGUGGGGAGCAAACAGG
This 406-nucleotide ribosomal RNA is filed under the name uncultured bacterium. Its description in RNAcentral is "bacterial SSU rRNA". It matches the Rfam family "Bacterial small subunit ribosomal RNA", at positions 355 to 776 of the family's 1533-position model. The record is from RNAcentral.